Molecule: non-coding RNA, 1101 nt
Organism: Paramisgurnus dabryanus
Lineage: Eukaryota; Metazoa; Chordata; Actinopteri; Cypriniformes; Cobitidae
Source: RefSeq, a predicted model, not a curated record
UUUACUUUUAACUCAUUACAUGCUGUUUGUUAAUCUCUUACUGUGGGUGGAAGUUUCCAUAUUAACACGCAGUAUGGGGUAUUUUAUAACUCUUCCCUCAUUUUCAAAGUGAAAGUACUGUAGUGUUUAAUAUCUGUGCGUAUCUCAGAAGCAUCACUGUGAACUUAAACCUUCACCCAGUGAAGACAAACAGUAAGUGAUCACUACUGUAACAUUUUAUACAAACUUCAUGACUACAUUUUAAUGUAAUACAUUUUAAUUGUUUUUCAUUUUUAAAUUAAUAUAAUGUCUUUAUAACAGGAGCUGGAUGAUGGGUGGUGUUAAUGUUGUACGACUGUUGCUGCUGGUCUGGAUCUUCACUGCUGUCUCUGAGGCCAAUAUUGAUAUCACAAUUAAGUGUGAAAAUGUGACUGCACAUGUGGGAGAUGAAAAAACGUUCACCUGCACGGUCUCUUAUCCAAGCUAUACAUGCUGCACAGAAAUGUACAAGUUUAUUAAUAUGACAGCAGAUAAAGGCCAAAUAAUCUGUAAAGAGGAGUUCAGAAAUGAUAACUGCAUACAGCUGAGCAGAUUUUCAUGUCCUUACACUGCAGAUAAACCCAUGACAACAAAACUCCAAUUCUUUUUGCAAGCCAACUGUGGUCAUGAAACAACAUAUUUCACUAUGCAUAUAGCAGAAGCUGUUAAAGAUGACACAGAUCAUCUCUCGUUCAAUAUUUAUUGUUGAAUUCAUGACAGAUUGAGUUCUGCUGUCAUUUAAGCAUGUAUACUAAAUAUUGAAUUUACUCUUUAUUCUAACACAAUAAUAUUGUAAACAUUGUUUAUGUUUUAUAUUUUAACAGCAGGGGAAUUAAACAGAUUCACAGGUGAAGAGUUUGGUGAAUCUACAAAGGAAACAGCCGUCAUCAUUUCUGUCAUGUGUUUGAUCAUCAUUAUCAUGGGAUUAAAUUACAAGAAGAAGCUCAACUUCAUCAACACUUGUGGAUUUCAGAAGGAUUAUAAUAUGGAUGUGCAUGAAAAAAUCCUCAGUAAUUGUUCAGAUAGGGAAACAGUGCACAUCAAUAUGUAAUAUAUUCAAGUUUUAACUAAAAAACAGCAUAU